AGUGAACGCUGGCGGCGUGCUUAACACAUGCAAGUCGAACGAGAACGGUCCUUCGGGAUGUCAGCUAAGUGGCGGACGGGUGAGUAAUGUAUAGUUAAUCUGCCCUUUAGAGGGGGAUAACAGUUGGAAACGACUGCUAAUACCCCAUACUCCUUCUAUAUUAAUUAUAGUUGGGAAAUGUUUUUUCGCUAAAGGAUGAGACUAUAUGGUAUCAGGUAGUUGGUGGGGUAAGAGCCUACCAAGCCAAUGACGCCUAGCUGGUCUGAGAGGAUGAUCAGCCACACUGGAACUGAGACACGGUCCAGACUCCUACGGGAGGCAGCAGUGGGGAAUAUUGCACAAUGGAGGAAACUCUGAUGCAGCAACGCCGCGUGGAGGAUGACGCAUUUCGGUGUGUAAACUCCUUUUAUAUAGGAAGAUAAUGACGGUACUAUAUGAAUAAGCACCGGCUAACUCCGUG
Molecule: ribosomal RNA, 460 nt
Filed under: uncultured bacterium
Lineage: Bacteria
Description: bacterial SSU rRNA
Rfam family: Bacterial small subunit ribosomal RNA
Source: RNAcentral